Long non-coding RNA from Homo sapiens (human), 461 nucleotides. NCBI's taxonomy places the organism in Eukaryota, Metazoa, Chordata, Mammalia, Primates, Hominidae. The record is from Ensembl.
GCCUCGCCCCCUGCGAUAGUGGUCCCAAGAGCCAGGGGGGGAAGAGGGGUUGGCUCUGAGUCCCCGCCUCGCGGGGGGUGCCUCCCCCCACUGCGAUGGGAGUCCCAAGAGCCAGGGGACAGAAAGACAACAGGUACAAAGCCCUAAGGAUUAUAAAGGUAUGCUGCUUACCAUCAUCUUAGUGACCAAGGCAGCGAAGCUGUUUCUGUACCUUGGAACAGUCUUCCCUGACAAGCCAGAGAACAGUGAUAAAGCCACCAGCCUUGGGAUCAGGACUGAAAAGGCAAGAGUGAUGGAGAUUUCUCCUGCGCUAAGCCAAGAGAAGGUUUCAGCACUUCAGACAGCUCCCACCGAAGUAGCCGCGCUCCCAGCUGCUUGCAGAUGUUGAAAAGGAAAGCCUCGGUUUGUCUUGAGGUUGUCAGCAGGUGCAAGACACGUAAUAAAAUGCAAUGUGUUCCUAA